This 786-nucleotide unclassified non-coding RNA is filed under the name Homarus americanus (American lobster). Its description in RNAcentral is "uncharacterized LOC121858449, transcript variant X1". Lineage: Eukaryota; Metazoa; Arthropoda; Malacostraca; Decapoda; Nephropidae. The record is from RNAcentral.
AGUUACCACACUACAUUACAAGGUGUGGUGGUGGUGGUCUGGCUGUGAGUGGAAUUACGGUCAAUUCCUCGUGGCAAGACAGAGAGGCAAUAGUGUACGAUAGCCACUGCUUCUCUACACUUCCUCCCUUGUGCUGGUGAAGGUGGUGUUCCUCCGCGACUGAAGUGAGUCAGUGGGCAGCAGCAGCAUGAUGAAGAUGGUGACUCUCCUCGUGGUGGUGGUGGUGACCUCACUUCACUACGUCGAGGCGAUACAGUGCUUCCAGAGGACUAUAUCAGAGUGUGGUGGCUCCUGCUUCACCAGAAUCCCCCAAGGAGAGGAGCUGGAGUUUGGGUGUAAUCCCCAAGUGACUGACAACGGAGAGACGGCUGUGGAGGACGGGUUCGCUUACGUCAUCCACUGUAACCACGAUAAGUGCAACCCAGACUCUGGUUCCUGUCUCUCUCUCUCAUUCUCUCUUUUGGUGCUGGGAGCUCUCUUCACCCUCCUCCUGUAAAACCACGCUUUGAGUUCCACCAUCCGCUGUAAAUCUGCGCUGGGGGCCUCCACCUCUUGUAAACCAUGGGCUGGAGUUUCGCCUUAAUGCACCGCCUGAUGUAAACUAAGGUCAAGCAGUCUCCUCUCCUCCGUGUACUAACUUGUGUAGACUAAGAAUGGGGAACCUCGCCCUCGCUGCACGUCGACCGGAAGACUGAAAUUCCUGAGCAGUUGAUGAAUUUUAUUCUCUAAAAUGUUAAAACUAUUGACAUUAAACUUUAUAAAAACAUCUCCGGAUAGUGUUACUUA